UUGUGCCAGCAGGCGGUAAUACGGAGGGUGCAAGCGUUAAUCGGAAUUACUGGGCGUAAAGCGCACGCAGGCGGUCUGUUAAGUCAGAUGUGAAAUCCCCGGGCUUAACCUGGGAACUGCAUUUGAAACUGGCAGGCUUGAGUCUUGUAGAGGGGGGUAGAAUUCCAGGUGUAGCGGUGAAAUGCGUAGAGAUCUGGAGGAAUACCGGUGGCGAAGGCGGCCCCCUGGACAAAGACUGACGCUCAGGUGCGAAAGCGUGGGGAGCAAACAGGAUUAGAUACCCUGGGUAGUCCCAA
This 296-nucleotide ribosomal RNA is filed under the name Pantoea sp. Its description in RNAcentral is "partial 16S ribosomal RNA". It matches the Rfam family "Bacterial small subunit ribosomal RNA", at positions 503 to 798 of the family's 1533-position model. Lineage: Bacteria; Pseudomonadati; Pseudomonadota; Gammaproteobacteria; Enterobacterales; Erwiniaceae. The record is from RNAcentral.